This 1544-nucleotide long non-coding RNA is filed under the name Mytilus galloprovincialis (Mediterranean mussel). The record is from RNAcentral. Lineage: Eukaryota; Metazoa; Mollusca; Bivalvia; Mytilida; Mytilidae.
AUGGCUGCCGCUCACCUGGCAAUAGGGGAAGGGUGCCAUCCGCUAUUGCUUGCAAUCGCAAAUCUAGUUAUGUCACCCGAUCGACAAUGUCGGGUGACAUAUUGCUUUUCCUCUGUUUCUUUUUCUGUAUUAUUAUGGCACCCUCAACGGAGUUGGGGUGACAUAUUGUUAUUGUUCGUUUCUUUUUUUUAUGGCACCCUCAACGGAGUUGGGGUGACAUAUUGUUAUUGUUCGUUUCUUUUUUGCAGUGGGGUAUGGCACCAUCAAGAUGGCUGCCGUUGCCAUGGAAACGAAACAAAUGUGAAAAAAUCCUGUUUUUUGUUUUGGUGAACUGUUUUGAUAUGCUUAAACUCAGAACCAUUAUAUUUUGAUACAAUGUUGGUGCCGGCCAUAUACAGGUGUUGGAUGAUUUUGGCACUCAUUGGAACUACUAUGUUGCCAUGGAAACUAUACCAAAAAUUUCAAAAAUCUCAAAAUGUUCCAAACUUCAUGAAGCUUCACAGUAACGAUGAGCAACAUUGGAAGAUGUGGAAUUUGGCGUUAGAAUUUCCAAAAUAUCUGUUGUUACCAUGGAAACAAUGCAAAAAGGUCAAAAAUUUCAAAAAAAAUAAAAAUGCUGUAAACUGGAUGAAACUUUACAGGAAUGGUCACUGGCAUAAGCAAAGUUGACAUUUGAAGUUGGAAUUUUCAAAAUGGCCGCCGUAACCAUGGAAACAGCAAAAAUGUCAAAAACUUCAAAAUGCUCCAAACUUAAUGAAACUUAACAAAUAUGAUAAUUUGAAUGUGUAGAUGCACACUUUGACUUUGGAAUUUUCUAGAUUGCUGCCACUCGCCUGGCAAUGUGGGAAGGGUGCCAUCCGCUAUUGCUUGCAAUGGCAAAUCUAGUUCUUAUUAUUUUUAUUAUUUUUAUUCUUCCACACUUUUUGUCCAAGACAGUUCUCGGAAAUGGAUGGACCAAUCUUGAUGAAACUAUGUUAUAAUGUUGUCCACCAUGUGAAGUUGUGCACCUGACUUUGGAGUGUGCAAGAUGGCCGCGGUUACCAUGGAAACUAAAAAAAUGUAAAAGAAAAUCAAAAUUCUAAAUCUUUCGUUAUAAGAGCCAACCUAAUGAAACUUUAUGUAAAUGUUGGCAAUGGUGCCCUGAGGUACCAACAGUACUUAGCUUCUGCAAAAUCUCUACCAUUGCCAUGGAAACUGGAGAAAAGGUUAACAUCGAACCUAUGGGGAAAAACAUCAAACCAGCCCUUUCUGAAGGAAUAUAAGAUGAAAUUCAAAGAAACUUUAUGAAUAUAUAACAUGGCAUAAGUCGAUGUUGAAACUGUUGUUGGAAUUUUCGAAAUGGACACCGUUACCAUGGAAACAGCAAAAAUGUCAAAAAAUAUCAAAAUGCACCAAACUUAAUGAAACUCAUUAUAAAUGACUAAUGGCAAGUUAAGAUAAGAAAUUGGACUUUGGAAUUUCCAAAAUGGCCGCUGUUGCCAUGGAAACUACAAAAAUUUCAAAAUUUUCAAAAUGCUACAAAAUUGAGUAAACUUUACAACAAU